This 474-nucleotide ribosomal RNA is filed under the name uncultured bacterium. RNAcentral describes it as "SSU rRNA". It matches the Rfam family "Bacterial small subunit ribosomal RNA", at positions 26 to 518 of the family's 1533-position model. The record is from RNAcentral.
AGGACGAACGCUGGCGGCGUGCCUAACACAUGCAAGUCGAGCGGAAAGGCCCUUCGGGGUACUCGAGCGGCGAACGGGUGAGUAACACGUGAGUAAUCUGCCCCUAGCUCUGGGAUAGCUCCGGGAAACCGGGAUUAAUACCGGAUAUGACCACUUUAGACAUCUGCUGUGGUGGAAAGAAUUUCGGCUAGGGAUGAGCUCGCGGCCUAUCAGCUUGUUGGUGGGGUAACGGCCUACCAAGGCGACGACGGGUAGCCGGCCUGAGAGGGCGACCGGCCACACUGGGACUGAGACACGGCCCAGACUCCUACGGGAGGCAGCAGUGGGGAAUAUUGCGCAAUGGGCGAAAGCCUGACGCAGCGACGCCGCGUGGGGGAUGAAGGCCUUCGGGUUGUAAACCCCUUUCAGCAGGGACGAAGCGAAAGUGACGGUACCUGCAGAAGAAGCGCCGGCUAACUACGCGCCAGCAGCCGC